GAAGUAUACCGAUACAAGUGCCACGUCAUCUUUUGAACAAUUCCAGUCUUGACGAAUUCUAGGCAGUUCUUCUUGUCAAAUCGAGCCAAAAGUUUCAGGAGUGUAACUGACUUGAUCUUUGAGGUACUAAUCUCCAUUUGCUCUUUACUAGUGAAUCUGUUGAUGAUUGUUUCAACCAGCUGUUGACAAUUCAUAAUUGCAGCUGCACAUGUUGGCGAAUGCCUAGCUAUCGCAAUUAAUAUGGAAAUCAGGCAUUCUUCCAAAGCUGUUGAAGGCUCAGUCUCCAAGAGAUACUGAAUCCUUUGAAGAAUCCCCAUCCUAAUCAAUCCUGCAGCUAUAUCUUGGCCAGCAACAACAACAUCAUCCUGAAU
RNAcentral lists this unclassified non-coding RNA (371 nucleotides) under Hevea brasiliensis (rubber tree). The record is from RNAcentral. Lineage: Eukaryota; Viridiplantae; Streptophyta; Magnoliopsida; Malpighiales; Euphorbiaceae.